This 274-nucleotide ribosomal RNA is filed under the name uncultured bacterium. Its description in RNAcentral is "partial 16S ribosomal RNA". It matches the Rfam family "Bacterial small subunit ribosomal RNA", at positions 523 to 796 of the family's 1533-position model. The record is from RNAcentral.
AUACGAAGGGGGCUAGCGUUGUUCGGAAUUACUGGGCGUAAAGGGCGCGUAGGCGGCCAAGCAAGUCAGGGGUGAAAUCCCACGGCUCAACCGUGGAACUGCCUUUGAAACUGCAUGGCUAGAGUUCGAAAGAGGAGAGCGGAAUUCCACAUGUAGAGGUGAAAUUCGUAGAUAUGUGGAGGAACACCGAUGGCGAAGGCAGCUCUCUGGUUCGAUACUGACGCUGAGGCGCGAAAGCGUGGGUAGCAAACAGGAUUAGAAACCCCAGUAGUCC